AGGAUAAACGCUGGCGGCGUGCCUAACACAUGCAAGUCGAACGCGCUUUGUCUCGCCGCAAGGUGAGGGGGAGCGAGUGGCGGACGGGUGAGGAACACAUGGGUAUCUACCUCCGGGUGGGGGAUACCGGCGAGAAAUCGCCGACAAUCCCGCAUAGCUUCGGGAACGAAGAAAGCAGCAAUGCGCCUGGGGAUGAGCCUGUGGCCGAUUAGCUAGCUGGUGGGGUAAUGGCUCACCAGGGCGACGAUCGGUAGCUGGUCUGAGAGGAUGAUCAGCCACACUGGGAUUGAGAACGGCCCAGACUCCUACGGGGGGCAGCAGUGAGGAAUCUUCCGCAAUGGGGGCAACCCUGACGGAGCAACGCCGCGUGCAGGAGGACGCUUUUCGGAGUGUAAACUGCUUUUCUCGAGGAAGAAGCGGACGGUACUCGAGGAAGAAGCCCCGGCUAACUACGUGCCAGCAGCCGC
RNAcentral lists this ribosomal RNA (467 nucleotides) under uncultured bacterium. RNAcentral's name for it is "SSU rRNA". It matches the Rfam family "Bacterial small subunit ribosomal RNA", at positions 26 to 518 of the family's 1533-position model. The record is from RNAcentral.